Molecule: long non-coding RNA, 6771 nt
Organism: Pseudopipra pipra
Lineage: Eukaryota; Metazoa; Chordata; Aves; Passeriformes; Pipridae
Exons: 2
Source: RefSeq, a predicted model, not a curated record
CUUGCUUCUGGAGAUGGAUGGAUGGGAUGGAUGGGAUGGACCUCGCUUCCGGAGAUGGAUGGAUGGAUGGGAUGGACCUCGCGUCUGGAGAUGAUGGAUGGAUGGGAUGGACCUCAAAGCUGCUGCCUGAGCCCUCCUUUGGGAUGAGGGAUUUGUUGGUGUGACCUCCCAGACGGCCACGACCUUUCAGCUUCUUAUCCCUUAAAAAACAGCAUCCAUCGGGAAUGGGAAUGGGAGCAGCGCUCUUGCCGUCGCCGUUCCGGGUUCUCCGGUGGGUCAACCAGAGGCAGAGGCUGUUGGGACACACAAGGUGGGGAGACACAGGAGGGAUUUUCCCGCUCCCACCCUCCACUGGAGGAGGGGGAGUCGUUUAGGGGGGGAUUUAUUCCCAGAAUUCCCCCGAGGAACCGCCGAGCUCGACGCGCCGAGGGGGCUCAACGCGCCUCCUCCUCCGGGCGCUGAGCACGAGAGGUUAUUAUUAUUUUAUUUUUUUUUGUUAUCAUAGCAAAAUUAAAAAGAAAAAAAAUAAUACUAUUAAAAAAUUUAAAAAAAAAAUUAAAAAAAAUAAAAUCCCACUUUUACAAGGAGAAAAAUAAAAAAAAAACCAAACCCUUUGUGGGUUUGAGCCACCCCCCCCCCCGACACGUGCCGUUAGCCAGCCGGUUUUCCACUGCAUUGUAAAAGUUCCCUCCUUCCAGCUGACAAUUUGAAGACCUUUUUUUCCUUUAAAUUAUCUCAGCUUUUAACUUCAUUUAAAAAAAAAAAAAAAAAGAAAAAAAAAAAAAAAGGACUUUCGUCUAAGGGAGAGUAUUAUUAUUAUAAUUAUUAUUAUUAUUAUUAUUAUUAUUCCGUGUUCUCUCGACGCCCUAAGAUCGAAAAAAAAAAGACAAACAAACCGCCUGAUAUGCAAAUAAUUGGAGUAAAACCAUGAAAACAAACAAACAAACGAGGAGAAUAUUUGCAAACACGAGUAUAAAAAGCACAACAAGAUGCAGUAAAACGAUGACAAGGCUUGAUUUUUUUUUUUUUUUUUUUUUUAUUCUGUAGAGAAAUGUUUGUGCAAAUUCAGUAAUUCAACUGAAGAGAUAAUUUUACAGCUGUUCAAUAAAGCCUCUUUCCAGGUAAGGUAUGACAAGUGGUGCGUGCGUUUGUUGAGCAGUGAGGCCCCCAAAAUGGCCUGGCCUGGGCUUUCCCUUCGUCAGCUGGUGGUGUCUGAAGGUCUAAUGGUCCAUACUGGUGAUGCUGGGGGGGCUGGAGCUUUCCCAGGAUAUUGGCUCCCGGCUUUGGAGGCACUUUGUGGGGGCUGGGAGAUGGGGGGAGCUCUGGUUUGGAUGGACUGUGGGGUCUGGAAAACCGUGGGAGCUCUGAGUCUGGAUGGACUGUGGGGUCUGGAUGGACUGUGAGGUUUGGAAAACAAUGGGAGCUCUGUCUGGAUGGACUGUGGGGUUUGGAAAAUAAUGGGAGCUCUGGUUUGGAUGGACUGUGGGGUCUGGAAAACCGUGGGAGCUCUGGUUUGGAUGGACUGUGGGGUCUGGAAAACCAUGGGAGCUCUGAGUCUGGAUGGACUGUGGGGUCUGGAAAAUAAUGGGAGCUCUGAGUCUGGAUGGACUGUGGGGUCUGGAUGGACUGUGAGGUUUGGAAAACAAUGGGAGCUCUGUCUGGAUGGACUGUGGGGUUUGGAAAAUAAUGGGAGCUCUGAGUCUGGAUGGACUGUGGGGUCUGGAAAAUAAUGGGAUCUCUGAGUCUGGAUGGAUUGUGGGGUCUGGAAAAUAAUGGGAUCUCUGAGUCUGGAUGGAUUGUGGGGUCUGGAAAAUAAUGGGAGCUCUGAGUCUGGAUGGACUGUGGGAUCUGGAAAACCGUGGGAUUUCUGAGUCUGGAUGGAUUGUGGGGUCUGGAAAACAAUGGGAUCUCUGAGUUUUAAUGGACUGUGGGGUCUGGAAAACAAUGAGGUCUCUGAUGGACUGUGGGGUCUGGAAAAUAGUGGGAGCUCUGAGUUUGAAUGGACUGUGGGGUCUGGAAAAUAAUGGGAUCUCUGAGUCUGGAUGGACUGUGAGAUCUGGAAAACAAUGGGAUCUCUUGAGUCUGGAUGGACUGUGGGGUUUGAAAAACCAUGGGAUUUCUGAGUCUGGAUGGACUGUGGGGUCUGGAAAAUAAUGGGAUCUCUGAGUCUGGAUGGACUGUGGGAUCUGGAAAACCGUGGGAUUUCUGAGUCUGGAUGGAUUGUGGGGUCUGGAAAACAAUGGGAUCUCUGAGUCUCUGAUGGACUGUGGGGUCUGGAAAAUAGUGGGAGCUCUGAGUUUGAAUGGACUGUGGGGUCUGGAAAAUAAUGGGAUCUCUGAGUCUGGAUGGACUGUGAGAUCUGGAAAACAAUGGGAUCUCUUGAGUCUGGAUGGACUGUGGGGUUUGAAAAACCAUGGGAUUUCUGAGUCUGGAUGGACUGUGGGGUCUGGAAAAUAAUGGGAUCUCUGAGUCUGGAUGGACUGUGGGGUCUGGAAAAUAAUGGGAGCUCUGAGUCUGGAUGGACUGUGAGGUUUGGAAAACCAUGGGAGCUCUGAGUUUUAAUGGACUGUGGGGUCUGGAAAAUAAUGGGAGCUCUGAGUCUGGAUGGACUGUGGGGUUUGGAAAACUGGGAGCUCUGAGUCUGGAUGGACUGUGGGGUCUGGAAAAUAAUGAGGUCUCUGAGUCUGGAUGGACUGUGGGAUUUGACACCCUUAAAAACACAAACCACCAAAUUUCCCGUUGGCAUCACUGGAUUUUGAGGGUGGCUGGCUGGCUGGAGGACCAGCUCAGGUAUGGCAAGACCCCGCUGCAGAUUUUUGAGCAGGAGGUUGUUGUCUCAUUACUCAGGACAUGUGGAAUCCAAACCUGGAUGUGCCUCCUCCCGCUGAUGUCUUGGGAAAGCCACAGAACCGAUGGAUGGUCCAAGAGGCUCCACCUUUGGAAGGGUCUGGCUUUGCCCAAGGCCACUGAGAGCCCUGACAGAAGUGGAUUCGUUCUCCUCUGGCAUUUCUCAUCCAUGUGUGACCUGGGUGGCUCCUUUUCCCCUCAUUUUCUGGUCAGAGCAGCACUUCAGGGAUGCUCCAGGCCGGAGCCUCAGCAGGCUCUGCAGGAGAUCCCACAGGUCAGAGACCUGGUCCUGCUGUGUUUUAUGAUGCACAACCUCACUGUCCUGAGCCUGGAAUAUUCCUGGACUAUGGAAAAAACAAAAAAGAGUGGCAACCUGUCAAUAAUUUUCACGGAAUCCCAGAUUCCCAGAGUGGUUUGGGUCGGAGGAGACCUUAAAGCUCAUCUCGUUCCACCCCCCUGCCACGGGAGGGAUGCUGUCCAUGAAACCAGGUUGAAGGAGCAUGUGAAACAUUCCAUUUCCUUUCAAAUAUUUUUCCUGGUAUUCUCCAGAAACAGACUCCAAAUCAGCUGAGCCUUCAGUGCCCGUUGCUCAGCAGGGACCAGGAGAAGGGUUUUCCCAAGCACCAAGGGCAGAGCUGGUGGUGAGGGUGUGACUCCACGGGAAGGGAGGUUUGGGAAGUGCCCUGGAACGUCCCCAGCUGUCCUGAAGAUCAGGGAAUGGAGAUCCUGGUUGCUUGUGUAGAUCCCAAGCUGAGACUCCAGGCUGGAAUCCUGGUCUCUCUUUCCAUGUCGAUUUUUCUUUCCCUCCCUCGCAUUAUUUUGGAUAAAGGGUUUUGAUUGACAGCCAAAGACCACAAACAUCUCCUUUCAGGGCAGGAUAAUCUGUUUGUCCUGAAAAGCCCAGGUCUUUGUGUGCAAGGGAAUUUAUUUCCCAUCCCUAUUCCGGUUUUACUCUGCCUGGGGGCAGAAGGUGAAAAGAAAAGCUGCUUUUCUCUCUCUCCAGUGUUGACUCAGGAGCAGCGUUAUCUUCCUUCACAUUCCCGGGAUAAACCACUGGAAAGGGCAGUGGGAUUUUACUCCAGGCCAUGAAUAAGAAGAACAAAUUGAGAUAUGCAUUUCCUAGUCUCGAUUUUUGUUUUAUUUUUAGUCUUUUUGGUGCAAAUGGAUGCAGAAUUUGUAAGAUAUUUGGACCAGGAAUCAGACAAAGGGAGUUGGAACUGGCAGGUCUCCUGAGGAAUCUGAAAACCCUCUGACUCAGUUCUGGGUUAUCCCAUCUAAUAAUGUCUCUGAUGGAGCUUUAAACUGGAAAUCAGAUGCUGAAUGGUGCAAAUGUGGACUGUGCAGCAACUCCAGCACUGGGAUGUUGGGAUCAGCAACUGGUUUGGAUGGGAUAGCUGGGGGAGUUUGCUGGGUGUUCCCCAAGCAGAGGGAGGUGGAGGUUUGAAUGGGAAAUCAUGGAAUUACAGAAUAGUUCGGGUUGGAAGGGACUUAAAGCUCAUCUGGUUCCACCCAGGGACACCUUCCACUAUCCCAGGUUGCUCCAAGCCGUGUCCAACUGCCCUUGGGCACUUCCAGGGGUGGGGAAUCCACCACCUCUCUGGGAAUCCUGUGUCCCACAUGGAAUUAUGGAACACUUGGACGUGCUGCCAACCCAGCUCUCCUCCAGCCUGGAUGGGAUACCAGGAGGGAUAAAGGAGCACAGACCAAAAGGGAGCAGAGAAAGACCUUACAAAUCACCCUCAAAUGCCCAAUUAUGGUUGGAAGGCAGGAGCAGCUCUUGGAGAGCCCAGAAAAGGGGAGAUGACCCACGUGAGGAACAUGUGGACAACAAGGUCUUCACACUGAGCCCAUCUCGUCUCAUCAGCCACUUUUUGGGGACUGCAAUCCAAGGCUGUGCUGCUCUCAGCCCCACAGAAAUCCUUGGAAUUGGGCAAUUUCCCCUGAAUUUGAGAGAGGACCCAAAAGGGAUGGAGCUGCACCUUCCAGCCCCACCACGAGUCCUGCCCCCCACUGGUGCCAGAGCUUUCCUUCUUCACAUCCAGCACUGGAACCUCUGCUCCAUUCGGGGCACAAUCAGGUUUUGGGGGUGAUUGGAAUCCCCAAACUUUAAGACAAAGUUGAUCAGUUAAAGCAUCAACUUCUUGUUUAAGAUUUUUUUCUCUUUUCCCUGUAAGGGCAGUGAAAUCCCUUUCUACUGAGAAGUUAAGGCAGAAGGAUCAGAUUUUUUUCCCCAUGGAAAAAGUGGAAGAGGCUUCCCUGGGUUUAUUUUCGGAGGGUUUACUCACUAGCAAUGUUUUUUCAUGUAUUGAAGGGUAAUUGAAACUCUCUUCCUCCCCAAGAAGAGCUGCCAUCCGUCAGAAAAAUGACUUUUUAGAGCAGUUCAAUAAAAAUAAGAUACAGUUUGGUAUUUUAAGCACUCUCUGCCUCUCUGUGCUAAUAAAGAGAUUGGGUGCCAUCUGGAUUAAUGCUUGGAUUUUCCCAUAAAACCAUAAAAAGCUAUAAAAAGGUUAUUUUUCCAUUUCAAAUUCUUCUUUUUUUCUUUUCUUCUUAAUUUUUGUGAAAAAAAAAAAGCAGCGGUGCAGGAGCUUUUAUGGCUCCUCCACCACAAUGCCAGAGUCAGGCAGGAAAGAGGGAAUUCAACCAUUCCAUUAUGGAAUUUCGGGACCUACAGAACGUGCAGUCCUGGGACUUCCAGAGUUCUCAAUUUUCUGUCACCUUUCCCUAAAGCCCUGACUGGUGUCACCCCAUAAAUCCCAUGGGAAUUAGGUGCCUGUGGGAUUUGGGAUGGGGAAGGAGGGGCUGAACUCGCUAAUUAAUCCAUCUUAAAACCAAUUUAAAGGCACAGGAGGGAGGAUGUGUUUGGGCCUUGCCCUCUGCACUGGCUCCAAGGCUGUGGCAAGACCUUGCUGGGGGGAUAUUUGUCCUAAAAACCCAAUUCUUGGUACCUGUUUAGCAUCAUUUAUUCCUGUUUAUCCCUUCCUGGUAUUAAAUUCCUCUCCCUUUCUACCCCCAGGCUGCUCCAAGUCCCCCCUUUUUGGCUGUUUCUUUUUCCAAUAUCUGGGUUAGAAAAGUGAAAUAAUACCAAAUUAAAGCUGUCAGUAACCCAAAUACAGGGAAUUUGGGGUUGUACACCCUGCUGUUACUUAUUAAAAUACUGUUCAGUUUUCCUUUUUUUUAUCUAUCAGAUUGGAGAGCUUGGGCUACAAGGUUUAUACUCUGGGAAGCUGCUUGUGUUUCUUCCCAAAAAAAAACAGAUCCAAAGGGUGGGAAUGUGUCACCCCACUCAGCCCUGGGAGCCUCUGGAGAGCAAGGUUCAGCCACUCAGCUUUCUUUUAAUAAAAACAUCUUUCCCGUGGAAUUUUGGAAUGCUUUGGGUGGGAAGGGAACCUUCAAGCCCACCCAGUGCCACCCCCUGCCCUGGGCUUUGCUCCCAGUUGAGGUCGUGGUUGACAACUGGAGGAAUCUCCACCUCAAUCCCUCGGGAUUUGGGAUCCCUGCAUGGAACAAAUCCUCUCCUACAGGCUGGAAAAAAAACCCAACCAAGGAUCACUGAGACAACUGUUCAUCUCUUGACUCGUUUUUGAUGGAUCUGACCACAAAAGAGACGGAAGAAAUUAAGAAUUAACAAUUAACAGCCUCGGCACCUUCUCAGGAAAGAUCAGAUGAGCUGCUUGCACACAGCCAACUGCAAAGGGGGGAAACCACAUGUUUGUGUCUGUAAAUACCAUAUAAAUAGCUGUAAUUGUAUGUAUUUAAUGUAUAUAAAGCUGAGGAUUACAUUUUAACAAUCUCAAGCACUGUACAGAGCCCCAGACCUGCUCUCUUGUUUUACUACCACACCCGCUGGAGGUUUAUUAUUUUUUUUUGUCAUUGUCGUUUCUGUACCUUGGUUGAAUUACAAACUGGCCUCACUUUUACCUCAAA